RNAcentral lists this long non-coding RNA (256 nucleotides) under Lathyrus oleraceus (garden pea). Its description in RNAcentral is "Pisum sativum (pea) long non-coding RNA (PSAT_LNC015930)". Lineage: Eukaryota; Viridiplantae; Streptophyta; Magnoliopsida; Fabales; Fabaceae. The record is from RNAcentral.
AGAGAGAGAGAGAGAGAGUUUGCGCGAGAACGGCGAGAGAGGGGGUUUAUGGAUGAGUGCAACGAGAAAGAGUAGUUUAAGUGGUAACAAAUGUUGGUGAGAAAAAAUGGAACGCUUUUUUUUACUGCUGCUACGUUGAACCAAGUCAUAGUUGAAGAAAAUGUUAUCUCUGCAGGAAGAAGAUGUAGCGGCCGAAUUAGGGUUCGCUAGUAUCCUCCCUUCAUGUUAAGGCAUUGGGUCGGGUUGAUCCAAUCCG